UGGGGAAUAUUGGACAAUGGGCGCAAGCCUGAUCCAGCCAUGCCGCGUGUGUGAAGAAGGCCUUCGGGUUGUAAAGCACUUUCAGCGAGGAGGAAGGGUUAGUAGUUAAUAGCUGCUAAUUUUGACGUUACUCGCAGAAGAAGCACCGGCUAACUCUGUGCCAGCAGCCGCGGUAAUACAGAGGGUGCAAGCGUUAAUCGGAAUUACUGGGCGUAAAGCGCACGUAGGCGGUUUUUUAAGUCAGAUGUGAAAGCCCCGGGCUCAACCUGGGAAUUGCAUUUGAAACUGGAAAACUAGAGUGUGUGAGAGGGGGGUAGAAUUCCAAGUGUAGCGGUGAAAUGCGUAGAGAUUUGGAGGAAUACCAGUGGCGAAGGCGGCCCCCUGG
Molecule: ribosomal RNA, 385 nt
Filed under: uncultured bacterium
Lineage: Bacteria
Description: bacterial SSU rRNA
Rfam family: Bacterial small subunit ribosomal RNA
Source: RNAcentral